RNAcentral lists this ribosomal RNA (492 nucleotides) under uncultured bacterium. RNAcentral describes it as "partial 16S ribosomal RNA". It matches the Rfam family "Bacterial small subunit ribosomal RNA", at positions 29 to 507 of the family's 1533-position model. The record is from RNAcentral.
AGUGAACGCUGGCGGUAGGCCUAACACAUGCAAGUCGAACGGCAGCACAGUAAGAGCUUGCUCUUACGGGUGGCGAGUGGCGGACGGGUGAGGAAUACAUCGGAAUCUACUUUUUCGUGGGGGAUAACGUAGGGAAACUUACGCUAAUACCGCAUACGACCUACGGGUGAAAGCAGGGGAUCUUCGGACCUUGCGCGAUUCAAUGAGCCGAUGUCGGAUUAGCUAGUUGGCUGGGUAAAGGCCCACCAAGGCGACGAUCCGUAGCUGGUCUGAGAGGAUGAUCAGCCACACUGGAACUGAGACACGGUCCAGACUCCUACGGGAGGCAGCAGUGGGGAAUAUUGGACAAUGGGCGCAAGCCUGAUCCAGCCAUACCGCGUGGGUGAAGAAGGCCUUCGGGUUGUAAAGCCCUUUUGUUGGGAAAGAAAAGCAGCAGGUUAAUACCCCGCUGUUCUGACGGUACCCAAAGAAUAAGCACCGGCUAACUUCGUG